GGGGCCGACCUGGCUUCGACGUGGGUGGUGAAGCAGCGCAGUGCAUACCGAGGGCCAGUGACCUCGUAAAUCCAUCUGGAAAACUACAAACGCCAACGACGAGCGUUUCGCUCUAGCCGCUUAAUACCGGUUAGCGCUGCACCGGCAGGUCUCUGGGCCGGGUGGUCUUAGCGCAAGCUGAGCCGCUGCAGUGUCAUUCACAGGGAAUCGCGAGCAGCGCCGGGUUACUUGGUGUUGCAGCUAAAGGUUAGGUAACUCGCCCCUUGCCGGCCUGCCGGGCGGCUAAGCCGGGGGUUAAAC
This 300-nucleotide transfer-messenger RNA is filed under the name Zoogloeaceae bacterium. RNAcentral describes it as "partial transfer-messenger RNA". It matches the Rfam family "transfer-messenger RNA", at positions 1 to 296 of the family's 374-position model. From Rfam's summary of the family: Bacterial tmRNA, also known as 10Sa RNA or SsrA, is named for its dual tRNA and mRNA-like properties. Its role is to liberate the mRNA from a stalled ribosome. The record is from RNAcentral. Lineage: Bacteria; Pseudomonadati; Pseudomonadota; Betaproteobacteria; Rhodocyclales; Zoogloeaceae.